This 236-nucleotide unclassified non-coding RNA is filed under the name Glomus sp. RNAcentral's name for it is "partial contains 5.8S ribosomal RNA and internal transcribed spacer 2". The stretch from base 1 to 65 matches the Rfam family "5.8S ribosomal RNA", at positions 84 to 154 of the family's 154-position model. The record is from RNAcentral. Lineage: Eukaryota; Fungi; Glomeromycota; Glomeromycetes; Glomerales; Glomeraceae.
GUGAAUCAUCAAAUUUUUGAACGCAAAUUGCACUCUCUUCGGAGAGGAUGCCUGUUUGAGGGUCAGCCUAAAAAAAAUCGAUGUAUUCGCUGUUUCGCUGUGACAUUCGUCGGAAAUUGGGUCAUCUUAAACCUGUGGGUUGUUUUAGCUGCUUAAAAUUUUCUUUACGAUUCCACGAACGUUUCUAAGUUUUUACUUCUUACACACGUGUAAGGUUUAGAUCUUGAUGAGUCGUG